AGAGUUUGAUCCUGGCUCAGGAUGAACGCUGGCGGCGUGCUUAACACAUGCAAGUCGAACGAACCUUCGGGUUAGUGGCGGACGGGUGAGUAACGCGUGAGAAUCUGCCCUCAGGAGGGGGAUAACGGUUGGAAACGACCGCUAAUACCCCAUAUGCCGAUAGGUGAAAUGAAUUUCGCCUGAGGAUGAGCUCGCGUCUGAUUAGCUUGUUGGUGAGGUAAUGGCUCACCAAGGCUUCGAUCAGUAGCUGGUCUGAGAGGAUGAUCAGCCACACUGGGACUGAGACACGGCCCAGACUCCUACGGGAGGCAGCAGUGGGGAAUUUUCCGCAAUGGGCGCAAGCCUGACGGAGCAACGCCGCGUGAGGGACGAAGGCCUCUGGGCUGUAAACCUCUUUUCUCAAGGAAGAAGAUAUGACGGUACUUGAGGAAUAAGCCACGGCUAAUUCCGUGCCAGCAGCCGCGGUAAUACGGGAGUGGCAAGCGUUAUCCGGAAUUAUUGGGCGUAAAGCGUCCGCAGGCGGCCUUUCAAGUCUGCUGUUAAAGCGUGGAGCUUAACUCCAUUAUGGCAGUGGAAACUGAUCGGCUAGAGUAUGGUAGGGGCAGAGGGAAUUCCCGGUGUAGCGGUGAAAUGCGUAGAUAUCGGGAAGAACACCAGUGGCGAAGGCGCUCUGCUGGGCCAUUACUGACGCUCAUGGACGAAAGCCAGGGGAGCGAAAGGGAUUAGAUACCCCUGUAGUCCUGGCCGUAAACGAUGAACACUAGGUGUCGGGGGAAUCGACCCCUUCGGUGUCGUAGCUAACGCGUUAAGUGUUCCGCCUGGGGAGUACGCACGCAAGUGUGAAACUCAAAGGAAUUGACGGGGGCCCGCACAAGCGGUGGAGUAUGUGGUUUAAUUCGAUGCAACGCGAAGAACCUUACCAGGGUUUGACAUCCUGAGAACCUCUUAGAAAUUUGAGGGUGCCUUCGGGAAUUCAGUGACAGGUGGUGCAUGGCUGUCGUCAGCUCGUGUCGUGAGAUGUUGGGUUAAGUCCCGCAACGAGCGCAACCCACGUUUUUAGUUGCCAGCAUUUAGUUGGGCACUCUAGAAAGACCGCCGGUGAUAAACCGGAGGAAGGUGUGGAUGACGUCAAGUCAUCAUGCCCCUUACACCCUGGGCUACACACGUACUACAAUGCUACGGACAAAGGGCAGCAAACUCGCGAGAGCUAGCAAAUCCCAUAAACCGUGGCUCAGUUCAGAUCGUAGGCUGCAACUCGCCUACGUGAAGUAGGAAUCGCUAGUAAUCGCAGGUCAGCAUACUGCGGUGAAUACGUUCCCGGGCCUUGUACACACCGCCCGUCACACCAUGGAAGUUGGCCAUGCCCGAAGUCGUUACUCCAACCCUUGUGGAGGAGGACGCCGAAGGUGGGGCUAAUGACUGGGGUGAAGUCGUAACAAGGUAGCCGUACCGGAAGGUGCGGCUG
RNAcentral lists this ribosomal RNA (1465 nucleotides) under Prochlorococcus sp. AG-459-M13. RNAcentral describes it as "bacterial SSU rRNA". It matches the Rfam family "Bacterial small subunit ribosomal RNA". The record is from RNAcentral. Lineage: Bacteria; Bacillati; Cyanobacteriota; Cyanophyceae; Synechococcales; Prochlorococcaceae.